CCGUCCGUCGCAGCAGCUUGUUCCUGUGCGACUCGGAACGCCGCUCGCGCAUCAACAAAGGGUGAACCUGCGGGCAGCAGAGAUAGAAGAAGAAAUUAAGUCAUAUGGUGUGGAAUGACAUGAGGCCGCAGGUCAGAUCUGAUAUUCUGCCCCGCUGUCCCUGCUCCCGUUCCACCAGUCCCCACCUCUGACCCACCAGCCAAUCAGAAGCCAUCCUGACAGAUGGUGGCAGCAUCCGAGGGAUGCUGGACCGGCGAAGGACGUUCUGUCCAGGCUCACACAUAUUUCUCAGAUUUCCUCCAAAGAGUCGAAGCAACAGAGAAACACAGUCGCAAAACAGAUCGCUGGAUUUAAGCAGCCUUAUGUUUGGUGGAAUUUAGACUAAUGGACUUUUCCUGUUUUUUGGCUUUCAGUUUGUUGGAGAUGUUCCUGCUUCACUGAUGAAGCUAGUCACAUGAGUUGGUUUGCAGUAAAUGAAAAGUCUAUUUGCUUUCAAAUUAACUUUAGCAGAUGUCUUACAAUGAUCUGGAUAAGCUAAAUUAUUUACAUACUAUAAACCAAAGCAAACUAUUUCUAUUUUACAUUGAACUGUAAAUACAGGAACAGAUGAUCUGUGAUAUUUGUU
This is a long non-coding RNA of Triplophysa rosa, 625 nucleotides long. RefSeq lists it as uncharacterized. The transcript has 3 exons. NCBI's taxonomy places the organism in Eukaryota, Metazoa, Chordata, Actinopteri, Cypriniformes, Nemacheilidae. The record is from RefSeq and is a predicted model, not a curated record.